RNAcentral lists this transfer RNA (70 nucleotides) under Macaca hecki (Heck's macaque). RNAcentral describes it as "tRNA-Ala". It matches the Rfam family "tRNA". From Rfam's summary of the family: Transfer RNA (tRNA) molecules are approximately 80 nucleotides in length. Their secondary structure includes four short double-helical elements and three loops (D, anti-codon, and T loops). The record is from RNAcentral. Lineage: Eukaryota; Metazoa; Chordata; Mammalia; Primates; Cercopithecidae.
AAGGGCUUAGCUUAAAUUAAAGUGGUUGAUUUGCGUUCAAUUGAUGCAGAGUAGGUGUUUGCAGUCCUUA